Paramuricea clavata is the source of this 332-nucleotide non-coding RNA. The record is from the annotation of a GenBank genome assembly. Lineage: Eukaryota; Metazoa; Cnidaria; Anthozoa; Malacalcyonacea; Plexauridae.
AGGUUAAAAUGCGGAAGCGGAUGCGAAACGGUGCGGAUCCACGGAACGGAUAUGGAGAUAAAAUGCGGAACGGAACGGAUUUGGAUAAAUCCUCUUUUUUUACGUUUCCGUGUUUUAGAUUUAUGUUUUUUUUGUAAUGGAAUACAACGUCGUAGUGCUUAUUACACGCUGGUUAUAUUCAGCGAAUUUUCUCCCAAUACCGCAGGCUCGCAUUUUCAGCGGAAUUGCGGUGAAAAAUUGAAAGUUUUGCAUUUUGCACAGAACUGGCUACUUUCUGUAAGAUGUCCGCUGACAAUACAAGCCCGCACAAGUGGGAGUACUUUUGCUAAAUU